Molecule: ribosomal RNA, 287 nt
Filed under: uncultured bacterium
Lineage: Bacteria
Description: partial 16S ribosomal RNA
Rfam family: Bacterial small subunit ribosomal RNA
Source: RNAcentral
AGUCCUACGGGGCGCAGCAGUAGGGAAUCUUCCACAAUGGACGAAAGUCUGAUGGAGCAACGCCGCGUGAGUGAAGAAGGGUUUCGGCUCGUAAAGCUCUGUUGGUAGUGAAGAAAGAUAGAGGUAGUAACUGGCCUUUAAUUGACGGUAAUUACUUAGAAAGUCACGGCUAACUACGUGCCAGCAGCCGCGGUAAUACGUAGGUUGCAAGCGUUGUCCGGAUUUAUUGGGCGUAAAGCGAGUGCAGGCGGGUCAAUUAGGCUGGUGUUGAAACCUUCUGCUCAACC